RNAcentral lists this ribosomal RNA (253 nucleotides) under uncultured bacterium. Its description in RNAcentral is "partial 16S ribosomal RNA". It matches the Rfam family "Bacterial small subunit ribosomal RNA", at positions 524 to 776 of the family's 1533-position model. The record is from RNAcentral.
UACGUAGGGCGCAAGCGUUAUCCGGAAUUAUUGGGCGUAAAGAGCUCGUAGGCGGUUUGUCGCGUCUGCCGUGAAAGUCCGGGGCUCAACUCCGGAUCUGCGGUGGGUACGGGCAGACUAGAGUGAUGUAGGGGAGACUGGAAUUCCUGGUGUAGCGGUGAAAUGCGCAGAUAUCAGGAGGAACACCGAUGGCGAAGGCAGAUCUCUGGGCCGUUACUGACGCUGAGGAGCGAAAGCGUGGGGAGCGAACAGG